Molecule: ribosomal RNA, 910 nt
Filed under: Sphaerellopsis macroconidialis
Lineage: Eukaryota; Fungi; Ascomycota; Dothideomycetes; Pleosporales; Leptosphaeriaceae
Description: LSU rRNA
Rfam family: Eukaryotic large subunit ribosomal RNA
Source: RNAcentral
GCAUAUCAAUAAGCGGAGGAAAAGAAACCAACAGGGAUUGCCCUAGUAACGGCGAGUGAAGCGGCAACAGCUCAAAUUUGAAAUCUGGCUCUUUUAGAGUCCCAGUUGUAAUUUGCAGAGGGCGCUUUGGUGUUGGCAGCGGUCCAAGUUCCUUGGAACAGGACGUCACAGAGGGUGAGAAUCCCGUACGUGGUCGCUAGCCUCCGCCGUGUAAAGCCCCUUCGACGAGUCGAGUUGUUUGGGAAUGCAGCUCUAAAUGGGAGGUAAAUUUCUUCUAAAGCUAAAUACUGGCCAGAGACCGAUAGCGCACAAGUAGAGUGAUCGAAAGAUGAAAAGCACUUUGGAAAGAGAGUCAAAUAGCACGUGAAAUUGUUGAAAGGGAAGCGCUUGCAGCCAGACUUGCCUGUAGUUGCUCAUCCGGGCUUUUGCCCGGUGCACUCUUCUACAGGCAGGCCAGCAUCAGUUUGGGCGGUUGGAUAAAGGUCUCUGUCACGUUCCUCUCUUCGGGGAGGCCAUAUAGGGGAGACGACAUACAACCAGCCUGGACUGAGGUCCGCGCAUUUGCUAGGAUGCUGGCGUAAUGGCUGUAAGCGGCCCGUCUUGAAACACGGACCAAGGAGUCUAACAUCUAUGCGAGUGUUUGGGUGUCAAGCCCGAACGCGUAAUGAAAGUGAACGGAGGUGGGAACCCUUUAGGGUGCACCAUCGACCGAUCCUGAUGUCUUCGGAAGGAUUUGAGUAAGAGCAUGGCUGUUGGGACCCGAAAGAUGGUGAACUAUGCUUGAAUAGGGUGAAGCCAGAGGAAACUCUGGUGGAGGCUCGCAGCGGUUCUGACGUGCAAAUCGAUCGUCAAAUUUGGGCAUAGGGGCGAAAGACUAAUCGAACUAUCUAGUAGCUGGUUCCUGCCGAAG